This 450-nucleotide ribosomal RNA is filed under the name uncultured bacterium. Its description in RNAcentral is "partial 16S ribosomal RNA". It matches the Rfam family "Bacterial small subunit ribosomal RNA", at positions 354 to 796 of the family's 1533-position model. The record is from RNAcentral.
GUGGGGAAUUUUGGACAAUGGGCGCAAGCCUGAUCCAGCAAUGCCGCGUGCAGGAAGAAGGCCUUCGGGUUGUAAACUGCUUUUGUACGGAACGAAACGGUCCUGGUUAAUACCUGGGGCUAAUGACGGUACCGUAAGAAUAAGCACCGGCUAACUACGUGCCAGCAGCCGCGGUAAUACGUAGGGUGCAAGCGUUAAUCGGAAUUACUGGGCGUAAAGCGUGCGCAGGCGGUUUUGUAAGACAGGCGUGAAAUCCCCGGGCUCAACCUGGGAAUUGCGCUUGUGACUGCAAGGCUGGAGUGCGGCAGAGGGGGAUGGAAUUCCGCGUGUAGCAGUGAAAUGCGUAGAUAUGCGGAGGAACACCGAUGGCGAAGGCAAUCCCCUGGGCCUGUACUGACGCUCAUGCACGAAAGCGUGGGGAGCAAACAGGAUUAGAAACCCCAGUAGUCC